GGCCGGGCGAACUUACCGAGGCCUUCGGGGAAUCCCGCAGGGCAGCCGGGAGCCCCAGAGGCAAUCCCCUGGAGGGAGAAUUGAGACCCCCGGCCUAUCCGCCCUACCUGGUUGGAGUGAUGAGAAACCGGAGAGAAAAAAGGAAGAGAAGCAACUAAAAGACGGAUCGGAGGGCUUUUUUUUUUCCGGCCCAGACGAGGGCUCCAGCCCACUCACCAGAUACACUUAAAAUGUAAAUACGAGCUUCCAGAACAAAUGCU
This 260-nucleotide long non-coding RNA is filed under the name Homo sapiens (human). RNAcentral's name for it is "HSALNT0002413". The record is from RNAcentral. Lineage: Eukaryota; Metazoa; Chordata; Mammalia; Primates; Hominidae.